Odocoileus virginianus texanus is the source of this 277-nucleotide non-coding RNA. Lineage: Eukaryota; Metazoa; Chordata; Mammalia; Artiodactyla; Cervidae. The record is from RefSeq and is a predicted model, not a curated record.
CUCUCCCACCCAUCAGCCACACUCACCCCUCUCCAUCCUGCGUGGAUGCCAUCAGCCAGCUCUCUGGAGACCUGGCUCUGGUCGGGCUUGCUAAGACACCAGGGAAGCCCUAAGUAAACAAAGGAAGAUCCUUAACUCCCUGGGGCAGGCUUGGAAUCUGACAGUGUAACCAAGGUCAAAGAACCCGGAAAGGAUGGGCAGGGAUGGAGGCGGGAGACAGAAUCAUGUUGACAGGAAGUAAAGAAGUCUUGAUAAUAAACAAGAGUCUCAUUUUUAA